AUUGAACGCUGGCGGAAUGCUUUACACAUGCAAGUCGAGCGGCAGCGCGGUGCGACCUGGCGGCGCGCGGCGAACGGGUGAGUAACACAUCGGAACGUACCCAAGCGUGGGGGAUAACACAUCGAAAGAUGUUCUAAUACAGGAUCAGUCCUGAGGGAGAAAGCGGGGGAACGCCAGACCCCGCUGGGGCGGGGCGGCCGAUGGCGGAUUAGCUAGUUGGUGGGGUAAAGGCCUACCAAGGCGACGAUCCGUAGCUGGUCUGAGAGGACGACCAGCCACACUGGAACUGAGACACGGUCCAGACUCCUACGGGAGGCAGCAGUGGGGAAUUUUGGACAAUGGGCGCAAGCCUGAUCCAGCCAUUCCGCGUGAGUGAAGAAGGCCUUCGGGUUGUAAAGCUCUUUCGGCAGGGAAGAAACGGUGCUGGCUAAUACCUGGGGCUAAUGACGGUACCUGAAGAAGAAGCACCGGCUAACUACGUGCCAGCCGCCGCCGUAA
RNAcentral lists this ribosomal RNA (498 nucleotides) under uncultured bacterium. RNAcentral's name for it is "partial 16S ribosomal RNA". It matches the Rfam family "Bacterial small subunit ribosomal RNA", at positions 29 to 523 of the family's 1533-position model. The record is from RNAcentral.